Molecule: transfer RNA, 71 nt
Filed under: Dipodomys ordii (Ord's kangaroo rat)
Lineage: Eukaryota; Metazoa; Chordata; Mammalia; Rodentia; Heteromyidae
Rfam family: tRNA
About the family: Transfer RNA (tRNA) molecules are approximately 80 nucleotides in length. Their secondary structure includes four short double-helical elements and three loops (D, anti-codon, and T loops).
Source: Rfam by way of RNAcentral
GAGUGUGUAGCUCAGUGGUAGAGUGCUUGCUUAGCAUGUACAAAGCCCUGGGUUCAAUCCCCAGCACUUCA